This 277-nucleotide ribosomal RNA is filed under the name Lumbrineris sp. MB-2016. Its description in RNAcentral is "partial 16S ribosomal RNA". It matches the Rfam family "Bacterial large subunit ribosomal RNA", at positions 1946 to 2368 of the family's 2925-position model. The record is from RNAcentral. Lineage: Eukaryota; Metazoa; Annelida; Polychaeta; Eunicida; Lumbrineridae.
CCGUGCAAAGGUAGCAUAAUAAUUUGCCUCCUAAUUAGAGGCUGGUAUGAAUGGAUUUACGAAAGUAUAACUGUCUCCUACUAAAAUAUAUAAACUAAACUUCAAGUGAAGAUGCUUGAAUUUCACUAAAGGACAAAAAGACCCUGUUGAGCUUCACCUUCAAUAAGUAUUAUAACUUACUAAGGUUUAGUUGGGGCGACUAAGGAAGAAAUAAAGCUUCCUCAAUAAAUAGACUGAUGUGUCCUAUAAAUGAUCCGCAAAAGCAAUCUAAAGAAAA